CUUUUGGUCAUCUAAAUGACGCUGCAUGUCCUUACGCUAUGCAUGAGGACUUCCAGCGUCACCAGAAUUUUCAUAGGAAAGCACUGAAUAAUGCUUUCCUAUGGAGAGAUCAUAAUGCUAACGCAACCAUUGCCGUGAAUGCAAAUUAGGUCUCCCACGUCAGUGGGGGAGAAGCGUGGGCAGAGCUGAGCCAGCGCCCAGGGACAUUGGUGCAGGACCCAGAUAAGUGACAUAAG
Molecule: non-coding RNA, 236 nt
Organism: Pelobates cultripes (western spadefoot toad)
Lineage: Eukaryota; Metazoa; Chordata; Amphibia; Anura; Pelobatidae
Source: the annotation of a GenBank genome assembly